Molecule: long non-coding RNA, 505 nt
Filed under: Phascolarctos cinereus (koala)
Lineage: Eukaryota; Metazoa; Chordata; Mammalia; Diprotodontia; Phascolarctidae
Description: lncRNA (ENSPCIG00000002760.2)
Source: RNAcentral
GGCCAGUAGGGUGCCUAGGAAACAGGAGUCAAAUGGGUGGGACUGGAAAGAAGAGAGGAUUGCCCUUUGCUGGGAGCCAGCAGUUGGGGAGAGAGCUGUGGAGCGGCCCAGCCAGUCCCAGACCCUUAACGAUUCCAAACUUGCAGCAGAGACUGAUUUCUCCCUGGAAAAUCUGAGAUGACUCCAGAGCAGGCUUCGAUAACAGCCUGCUCCCAGUUACAGUUUGCUGCUUGCUCUGCUUGGCUUGGCAAUGGGAACAUCCUAAAAACAGCUCUAUCCAUGGAGGUACAAAGCUGCCUCCUCCUCCUCCAGUCCUGGGGAAGUCAAGAAAGAAUGGGGUGGGAGGGAGGAGGAGAAGAAGAGAAAAAAAUCCUCCUGCGUCUGGAGAACUGACUGCCUGGGAACUUUUCUUUGUCUCACGGCAAGGAAUACUGCACCAUGACCCAAUGAAGUUUGAGAACCAAUGAUCUAGUGCCCUGGAAACAGCAACUGUUUUAAAAGGCAU